GAUAAGAACGUAGCGAAAUGCGAUAAGUAGUGUGAAUCGCAGAAUUCAGUGAAUCAUCGAAUCUUUGAACGCACAUUGCGCCCCUUGGUAUUCCAUGGGGCAUGCCUGUUCGAGCGUCAUUUGUACCUUCAAGCUCUGCUUGGUGUUGGGUGUUUGUCUCGCCUCUGCGUGUAGACUCGCCUCAAAACAAUUGGCAGCCGGCGUAUUGAUUUCGGAGCGCAGUACAUCUCGCGCUUUGCACUCAUAACGACGACGUCCAAAAGUACAUUUUUACACUCUUGACCUCGGAUCAGGUAGGGAUACCCGCUGAACUUAAGCAUAUCAAUAAGCGGAGGA
Molecule: unclassified non-coding RNA, 336 nt
Filed under: soil metagenome
Description: partial contains 5.8S ribosomal RNA, internal transcribed spacer 2, and large subunit ribosomal RNA
Rfam family: 5.8S ribosomal RNA (bases 4-119)
Source: RNAcentral